AGUGGCGGGCGGGUGAGUAACGCGUGGGGAACCUGCCCCAUACCGGGGGAUAACAGCCGGAAACGGCUGCUAAUACCGCAUAAGCGCACAGUACCGCAUGGUACGGUGUGAAAAACUCCGGUGGUAUGGGAUGGACCCGCGUCUGAUUAGCCAGUUGGCGGGGUAACGGCCCACCAAAGCGACGAUCAGUAGCCGGCCUGAGAGGGCGACCGGCCACAUUGGGACUGAGACACGGCCCAGACUCCUACGGGAGGCAGCAGUGGGGAAUAUUGCACAAUGGAGGAAACUCUGAUGCAGCGAUGCCGCGUGAGGGAAGAAGGUUUUAGGAUUGUAAACCUCUGUCUUCAGGGACGAAAAAAGACGGUACCUGAGGAGGAAGCUCCGGCUAACUACGUGCCAGCAGCCGCGGUAAUACGUAGGGAGCGAGCGUUGUCCGGAAUUACUGGGUGUAAAGGGAGCGUAGGCGGGAUCGCAAGUCAGAUGUGAAAACUAUGGGCUUAACCCAUAAACUGCAUUUGAAACUGUGGUUCUUGAGUGAAGUAGAGGUAAGCGGAAUUCCUAGUGUAGCGGUGAAAUGCGUAGAUAUUAGGAGGAACAUCAGUGGCGAAGGCGGCUUACUGGGCUUUAACUGACGCUGAGGCUCGAAAGCGUGGGGAGCAAACAGGAUUAGAUACCCUGGUAGUCCACGCCGUAAACGAUGUUUACUAGGUGUGGGGGGACUGACCCCUUUCCGUGCCCGCAGCAAAACGCAAUAAGUAAUCCACCUGGGGAGUACGACCGCAAGGUUGAAACUCAAAGGAAUUGACGGGGGCCCGCACAAGCAGUGGAGUAUGUGGAUUUAAUUCGAAGCAACGCGAAGAACCUUACCAAGUCUUGACAUCCCUUGACGAUGCUGGAAACAGUAUUUCUCUUCGGAGCAAGGAGACAGGUGGUGCAUGGUUGUCGUCAGCUCGUGUCGUGAGAUGUUGGGUUAAGUCCCGCAACGAGCGCAACCCUUAUGGUCAGUUACUACGCAAGAGGACUCUGGCCAGACUGCCGUUGACAAAACGGAGGAAGGUGGGGAUGACGUCAAAUCAUCAUGCCCUUUAUGACUUGGGCUACACACGUACUACAAUGGCGUUAAACAAAGAGAAGCAAGACCGCGAGGUGGAGCAAAACUCAGAAACAACGUCCCAGUUCGGACUGCAGGCUGCAACUCGCCUGCACGAAGUCGGAAUUGCUAGUAAUCGUGGAUCAGCAUGCCACGGUGAAUACGUUCCCGGGCCUUGUACACACCGCCCGUCA
Molecule: ribosomal RNA, 1284 nt
Filed under: uncultured bacterium
Lineage: Bacteria
Description: bacterial SSU rRNA
Rfam family: Bacterial small subunit ribosomal RNA
Source: RNAcentral